ACAUAUUUUAUUUUAGUAGUUUGAUUUCUUAUUUCUUUUAAUUACAUGUAGGCUAUUACGAAAAAUUUUUAAUAAUUAAAAUACAGUAAUUGGAGUUAUUCUUUAAUAAAUAUUAGAUCUAUAAAUUGAAUUUAAACUUAACAAACUUUGUGCCAGCAGUUGCGGUUAUACAAUUAAGUUAAUGAAAUUUUUAAAAUAAGUUAAUUAUUCAUUUGAGAGAUUAAAAAAUCAAAAUUUAAAGGUAAAAUUUGAUUUUUAUUUUUAAAUCUUUAUUUAUAAUUAAAAAACUGAAGUAUAAAUCAGGAUUAGAUACCCUGUUAUUAAAGUGUAAAUUUAUUGGAGUAGUAGUAGUUAAGAUCUUGAAACUCAAAAAAUUUGGCGGUAUUUUAUCUUAUUAGAGGAACCUGUUUAUUAAUUGAUAUUCCACAACUUUAAUUUACUUUUAUUAAAUUACUUGUAUAUCGUUGUCAUGAAUCUAUUAAAAAGUGAUUUUCAAGAUUUUUUAUAAAAUUUAUGUUAGAUCAAGGUGCAGUCUGUAAAAGAAAAAAAUGGGUUACAUUAGUUACUAUGAAUGAAUAUUAUUAUUGGAAAAUAUUGGAAAAGGGAUUUAAAAGUAAAAUAAAAUUAAUAAAGAUUUUUCAUGAAUUUAGAUUCUGAAAUAUGUACACAUUGCCCGUCGCUCUUAUUUAAAGUAAGAUAAGUCGUAACAUAGUAGAUGUACUGGAAAGUGUGUCUGGAAUUAGA
This 744-nucleotide non-coding RNA is filed under the name Arytainilla spartiophila (broom psyllid). The record is from RNAcentral. Lineage: Eukaryota; Metazoa; Arthropoda; Insecta; Hemiptera; Psyllidae.